RNAcentral lists this ribosomal RNA (301 nucleotides) under uncultured bacterium. Its description in RNAcentral is "partial 16S ribosomal RNA". It matches the Rfam family "Bacterial small subunit ribosomal RNA", at positions 509 to 807 of the family's 1533-position model. The record is from RNAcentral.
CAGCCGCCGCGGUAAUACGAAGGGUGCAAGCGUUACUCGGAAUUACUGGGCGUAAAGCGUGUGUAGGUGGUUGUUUAAGUCUGUCGUGAAAGCCCUGGGCUCAACCUGGGAAUUGCGAUGGAUACUGGGCGACUAGAGUGCGGUAGAGGAUAGUGGAAUUUCCGGUGUAGCAGUGAAAUGCGUAGAGAUCGGAAGGAACAUCUGUGGCGAAGGCGACUAUCUGGGCCAACACUGACACUGAGACACGAAAGCGUGGGGAGCAAACAGGAUUAGAUACCCGCGUAGUCCCUGUCUCUUAUAC